AGCCCUGAUAUCCAUCCGAGCCUCUCCCCUUCUCCUCGCAGCCGCGCACCGCCGCCGGUACUCCCGCCGGCGCCGCCCGCGCUCCACCUCCUGUCUCUCCUUUGAUCUGCACCAUACGCCCAGGUCCUCCCUCCUCCGCUUCCCAGGCCUCGCAGCCCCUUCACCUUCCAGCGACCGCGGCGCCAGAUCAGCGGCCCGACUGAGGCGGCGGCGAACCGUAGCCACAACGGGUCGCCGGCGCCCGUCCUCGCCUCGGCUGCCUCCUUGCCUCCUCGGUUUUGCGGCCGUAAGGAGCUGCAUCCGGCCUGGGAUGAGGUCCGGCACAGGGAACCGGCCUGGGGAAAUGGACCGAUGGAGGCCGCGUCGAACCCUAGCCGCAACCGGUCGUUGGCGCCCAUCCCGCGCCGCGGCUGAUCACCCCGAGCUCCCUCCUCGUCUCCUCUGUUUUGCGGCCGAAGGAGAUGCAGCCUGCGUGGGACGAGGUUGGACGCAGUGAACCGGCCCGGCGAAAUGACCCACGGGGGCACCAAGCACGGCGAGGACCAGCCUCCUCCUCUUUCUCUUUGACCUCAAUCAAUGACGCUCUCUACCAUACACCGUGGCCUUUGGCAUUGGCUGGCUUCGUGGAACAUUUUUCACUGGAAAACAACCAAAUCCAAUGUCGAGAAGCUUGGCGUUGACAAGAUCUGAAGCUCUGCACCAGACUCUCAAGCACUAAAGCAGAACGCAACCACCUUGGCCAUUCCUCCGGUGUGCAUGAUUUGACGCUCUCUACCCUACAUGUACAUGAGCUACUGUACUCCAGCUUUGUUCAUGGACGACUGGCCUGCAAAAACUCACUCCGACACCUCCUGCGUGGCUUCCCCUGCGCCUCUCGUGGCCACUUUUCUCUGACUCCGGCAUAGACCUCAAUGACACUCUACCUGAGCCGGUGGCCCUCGGCAUCGACCUCGGUGUCAUGAAGAACAUCCAAGAUUAUAUGGUCGAGAAGCUCAGCGUCGACAAGAGCAUCAUCCUAGAGCUCUGCAUCAUCCUCUACAAGCAAGUACCGAACCACCAUGGCCAUGCCACUGGCCAUUGUGCACCAAUUUGACGACGAUGAUUUCCACAGCUUUGUUCAUGGAUGGCUGGCUUACGAAAAGCUCACGCCGACGCCUCCGGUGUGGCUUCCCCUACGCCUCCAGCAUAGGGUUCUUGUACAUGCGAAAGUGCAUGAUUUUUCGAUGGUUGUCUAGCUGCAGUUGUCUCCCCAUGUAAUGGCAUCAAGUUCAGAGCGCCCCAACUGCCUCUCCUUCGACCGUGGUUCAGGAGAGCAUGUCUAAAGAAAAGAAAAACCUGGAUAAUCAUGGUUGUUACAGGCCUAGGGAAAUUGAUACACUCAUGGGCCACCUGAUGUUGGUUGUCAAGCUUGUUUGCUGCGACCAUCAGCCGAUGUAUCCUUCAUCAGUGCACGGCCAUGGCGAUGAAAUGCUGCGUUGAUGGGUCUAGUUUCAGAAUUAAGCUAUGUAGUUUGGCUCUGUCAUGUUGCAAUGUCUGUGAAGGAAGGACACAAAGUGCUAGUGCUUCCUGGGCUGUGUAGACCCCAAAUAUUUUUAUUAGCUCAUCUGAGAAGUACUCCCUCUGUUCGUAACUGUAAGUCUUUUUAGAUAUUCCAAUUCGGACUGCAUACGGAGCAAAAUGAGUGAAUGUACACUCUAAAAUAUGUAGUCCAUAUUGACAUCUCUAGAAAGACUUUUAUUUAGGAACGGAGGGAGUAGUUGAUGACAUAAAUAAUCAACUUGGUUUUGGGUCAAAA
This is a long non-coding RNA of Triticum aestivum (bread wheat), 1795 nucleotides long. RefSeq lists it as uncharacterized. The record is from RefSeq and is a predicted model, not a curated record. The transcript is spliced from 9 exons. NCBI's taxonomy places the organism in Eukaryota, Viridiplantae, Streptophyta, Magnoliopsida, Poales, Poaceae.